Helianthus annuus (common sunflower) is the source of this 235-nucleotide long non-coding RNA. RefSeq lists it as uncharacterized. Lineage: Eukaryota; Viridiplantae; Streptophyta; Magnoliopsida; Asterales; Asteraceae. The transcript is spliced from 3 exons. The record is from RefSeq and is a predicted model, not a curated record.
GUCAAACCAGUAGAUCUGGUGUCGGAUCUACUGAAAUAGUGUCGGAUCUACUGAGAUAGUGUCGGAUCUUGAAGCCACCGGGAAAGAAGCCAUAGAAAUCGAUGUGGUGUCGGAUCUACUGAGAUAGUGUCGGAUCUUGAAGCCACCGGGAAAGAAGCCAUAGAAAUCGAUGUUGUGUCGGAUCUGGUGUCGGAUCUGGUGUCGUCAACGAUGGAGGAGCGGUGGAGGAGCGGUG